RNAcentral lists this unclassified non-coding RNA (2362 nucleotides) under Leishmania donovani. RNAcentral describes it as "gene:LdHU3.17.0420(CDS-product:hypothetical_prote in_conserved)". Lineage: Eukaryota; Euglenozoa; Kinetoplastea; Trypanosomatida; Trypanosomatidae. The record is from RNAcentral.
CGCUUGUGCUGAUACGCACACGCAGAGGUAUCUGCAUCUGUAUUCGAUACAUGCACCACUACAUGUGCAUAACUAGUCCGAAGACGUGCUGAGACGCGAAUGGAGACGCAUCGCAUCCAUGAACAUUUUCCAGAGUAGCAGUGUUGGCUUUCGGCAGGGCAGGAGCCUCGUCGAUGAAACCCCCGCCCCAUCGGUGAUGCGAUACCCUAUUCUAGCCCCCGCCCCCGGCGACAGCGACACUCAAACAUCACUGUCGUACGGAAUCGGUGCCAGCGCCGCUGCGAAGCAGUCGACGGACCUUCCAGCCCUUCUGGCGGCUGCGCAGCAGACCCGCCCCAUAGCAGCCAAAUCAGGCCAGAGUACGUUCCCGUCGGUGCCUUACUACGGAAUUCUCAGCCGCUGUGAGGUUCGCAUGGAUGUAUCCGUCGAGCGUAGUGCGCGAGCACCGGGAUGGCCGAUCUCAGACGCGGCAGGGGCGUCUGCUGGGAUGCUGCUGCGCAAUCCGACCACAACGAUGGCCCGCAUGGCGCACAUUCAGCGCCGCCUGUACGACGUCGCCGAGCGCUUUGGCAGCGUAUACCACCUCAGCAACGGCGCAACCCUCUCGGAGAGCGUGACGGCGCCACUGCUGCCGAAUCAAGGCAGUGCUUCGUCAGCUGCCUCUUUCCACAGUCAGCUGACUUACGGGGCAUACGUUCAAGCACUGCACGACGCUUUCCGACGCUUCAGUGCGCUGCGGCAGGCAUGCGUUACCAUGGAGAAAGCUGCAUCGGGUGCCCGCGCUGCCACAAUCGGUGAUGACAUGGUUACGCACCACACCUUCUAUGCGCGCCUUCUGGGCCAUCCGUCGUGGAAAGAUCUCAGCGCUCUGCUAUGCGUGGAGAAGGGUGGACUGCUUGUCUGCCUCAUUUCCUCUUCUCGGAUAACGCAGAAGCACUUGACGGCGGCUUGCGCCGAUGCUGGGGUGAGCUUGGAUUGGCUUGGCGGGGCAGCACUCGUGGCGGAGCCGCUUCAGCUGAUUCCUGGAGAUGUUAACCCAGUAUGGGUGGUGUGGGAUGCGUUGGUGAACCUACCGCUACUCCUGCCGUCCUCAAUCAACCGAGAAGGGAACAAGGAGGGGCUCACUAGUGGUGCUGACGACGCCGCGGAUACCCUCGACAGCGUUUCGGCAGGGGCGCGUGAGGUGCUGAACAGGGUGACGCAAACUGGCUCGACUCUCUCUGGCUUUCACAUCUCGCUCAUCUCGUCGAUGCCCUUCCAAGGCUCUACGCGCUUCCACCAAGUUGGCCGGAUUGCCGAUGAGGCACCUGUGCUUGCUCAGGAAGACCACCCUCCGUCGUCAUCUCUGUCGGCGACGGCGGUGGCGAGGCAACCGACGCGCGAAGCCGUCGUCGCCUGCCGCUACAUCUGGCGCCUCAUUCCCUCACCGCCAUCUUGCUUCACCGUUGCCCCAAAGUCCUCGUCUGCAUCAGCGUUGUCGUUGUCGUGUUGUGCGGUUCUGCCCUUCUUCAUGUCGAAGCUGCUCCAAUGCCUCGUAGAGGAGUGCGGGCUCAUCGCCUUCGCGGUGCACUGCGGCGGCCCGGCGGAGCUGACCACGCAUCUUGGCGCCCCGUCAGUGUCGACCGGAUCUACAGCUUCAGGUGCAGUUGGGGUGCGGCUGGUGCACAGCAACGCGCCAUCACUGCUCACGCUGCAACAGGGACCCAGCUCCUCCUCGUGCCUUGCGUUCAGCCGUCUGAGCGGCGCUUUCUGGGUCGAUGCUGAGACGCGCGAGAGUCUGAGCCUCGGUGGACUCACCGCUGCGUUUGGCGAGCCCGACAAGGAUGUCAUGGGGGACGAAGAGGAGGACACCGAGAUGGAGUUCGAGGUCGUGUCGAUCCGCUACGAGCGGCGCGGCGAGCUGAAGACGAUGGAGAAAGAGCCCAACAAGGUGAGCGUCUGUGCCACCGCCGCCGCUGUCGAGAGCAGCGGUAGCUGCCCGGUCAAGCGCGCCCGUUUCGAUGCCGCUGACAUCUACGAAGAGGACCACGACGAUGCCUUUGUACGCCCGGCGCAGUGGGGGCCAUCGUUUGCCUUUACUGUGUCGGUGAAGCGACUCAUCGCCGUCGAUGAUUGAUGCGUGACGCAGUGGCGUGCCACUCUUCUCCAUUUUUAUGGGGAGGUGAUGUGCGUGGCCUUGCUCGUGAACAUUUGCGUGCUGCGGUUACUGUAUGAUGAUAGUCAGUGUUCUUGGGUGCAUGUGUGGCUGUUUCUCUCUCAGGUGUGCGUGUGUGCGUGCAAGCCUUCUACUCUCGGGUUGCUGCCACUCAAAAAAAAAAAAAGGAUGUCCGCAGCAGCUGAAAGAAGAAGACAGCGCCUCAUC